This 105-nucleotide microRNA precursor is filed under the name Canis lupus familiaris (dog). RNAcentral's name for it is "mir-8834 microRNA precursor family". It matches the Rfam family "mir-8834 microRNA precursor family". The record is from Rfam by way of RNAcentral. RNAcentral also lists the same sequence under 1 other name. Lineage: Eukaryota; Metazoa; Chordata; Mammalia; Carnivora; Canidae.
AGGAGGAACAACCCCAGUGGCGGCGGCAGCUCUGCAGCCCUGGAUUCAGCUCCCGCAGUGACUACUGAGCUCUGCCUCUGCAGGGCCUGGAGGCUCUGGGCGGGG